UAGGGAAUCUUCGGCAAUGGGGGGAACCCUGACCGAGCAACGCCGCGUGAGUGAAGAAGGUUUUCGGAUCGUAAAGCUCUGUUGUUAAGGAAGAACGAGUGUGAGAAUGGAAAGUUCAUACUGUGACGGUACUUAACCAGAAAGGGACGGCUAACUACGUGCCAGCAGCCGCGGUAAUACGUAGGUCCCGAGCGUUGUCCGGAUUUAUUGGGCGUAAAGCGAGCGCAGGCGGUUAGAUAAGUCUGAAGUUAAAGGCAGUGGCUCAACCAUUGUAGGCUUUGGAAACUGUUUAACUUGAGUGCAGAAGGGGAGAGUGGAAUUCCAUGGGUAGCGGUGAAAUGCGUAGAUAUAUGGAGGAACACCGGUGGAGAAAGCGGCUCUCUGGUCUGUAACUGACGCUGAGGCUUGAAAGCGUGGGGAGCGAACAGG
RNAcentral lists this ribosomal RNA (429 nucleotides) under Bacteroidota bacterium. RNAcentral's name for it is "Bacteroidetes bacterium partial 16S ribosomal RNA". It matches the Rfam family "Bacterial small subunit ribosomal RNA", at positions 355 to 776 of the family's 1533-position model. Lineage: Bacteria; Pseudomonadati; Bacteroidota. The record is from RNAcentral.